RNAcentral lists this ribosomal RNA (406 nucleotides) under uncultured bacterium. RNAcentral describes it as "partial 16S ribosomal RNA". It matches the Rfam family "Bacterial small subunit ribosomal RNA", at positions 29 to 526 of the family's 1533-position model. The record is from RNAcentral.
AUUGAACGCUGGCGGCAGGCCUAACACAUGCAAGUCGAGCGAGCGGCGGACGGGUGAGUAAUGUCUGGGAAACUGCCUGAUGGAGGGGGAUAACUACUGGAAACGGUAGCUAAUACCACAUACCAUCAGAUGUGCCCAGAUGGGAUUAGCUAGUAGGUGGGGUAAUGGCUCACCUAGGCGACGAUCCCUAGCUGGUCUGAGAGGAUGACCAGCACAACUGGAACUGAGACACGGGCCAGACUCCGACGGGAGGCAGCAGUGGGGAAUAUUGCAAAAUGGGCGAAAGACUGAUGCAGCAAUGCAGCGUGUGUGAAGAAGGCCGUCGGGGUGUAAAGCACUUUCAGCGGGGAGGCGUUACCCGCAGAAGAAGCACCGGCUAACUCCGUGCCAGCAGCCGCGGUAAUUC